UACGAAGGGGGCUAGCGUUGUUCGGAAUUACUGGGCGUAAAGCGUAUGCAGGCGGAUCGUUAAGUCGGGGGUGAAAUCCCGAGGCUCAACCUCGGAACUGCCUUCGAUACUGGCGAUCUUGAGUCCGGGAGAGGUGAGUGGAACUCCGAGUGUAGAGGUGAAAUUCGUAGAUAUUCGGAAGAACACCAGUGGCGAAGGCGGCCCACUGGCCCGGUACUGACGCUGAGAUACGAAAGCGUGGGGAGCAAACAGG
This 253-nucleotide ribosomal RNA is filed under the name uncultured bacterium. RNAcentral's name for it is "partial 16S ribosomal RNA". It matches the Rfam family "Bacterial small subunit ribosomal RNA", at positions 524 to 776 of the family's 1533-position model. The record is from RNAcentral.